UAGCCACUGGAAACGGUGAGUAAUACCGCAUACGCCCUUCGGGGGAAAGAGUUUAUCGGAGAAGGAUCGGCCCGCGUUAGAUUAGAUAGUUGGUGGGGUAACGGCCGUACCAAGUCUACGAUCUAUAGCUGGUUUUAGAGGUAUGAUCAGCAACACUGGGACUGAGACACGGCCCAGACUCCUACGGGAGGCAGCAGUGGGGAAUCCUAGACAAUGGGCGCAAGCCUGAUCUAGCCAUGCCGCGUGUGUGAUGAAGGUCUUAGGAUCGUAAAGCACUUUCGCCAGGGAUGAUAAUGACAGUACCUGGUAAAGAAACCCCGGCUAACUCCGUG
This 332-nucleotide ribosomal RNA is filed under the name uncultured bacterium. Its description in RNAcentral is "bacterial SSU rRNA". It matches the Rfam family "Bacterial small subunit ribosomal RNA", at positions 144 to 507 of the family's 1533-position model. The record is from RNAcentral.